AAAAGAACGGAGAACGUAUCCAAGGAUGUCUCUGACGCUUAUCCCUGAUCACUUCCAGCACAUUGUGCGGCUGCUCAACACGAAUGUGGAGGGCAAGCGCAAGGUGCCGUUCGCGCUGCGCAUGGUGAAGGGCGUUGGCAUCCGCUUUGCCUACCUGGUGUGCAAGAAGGCCGGGAUCGACGUGGAGCGCCGCGCGGGCACUCUGACCGCGGAGGAGCUGGAGAAGAUCGCCGAGAUCAUCGCCGACCCCGCGAAGUUCAAGAUCCCGGACUGGUUCCUGAACCGUCAGCGCGACCCCAAGACCGGCAAGACGGAGCACCUGUCCAGCUCGAUGGUGGACACCCGCCUGCGCGAAGACCUUGAGCGUCUGAAGAAGAUUCGCGCGCACCGUGGCGUGCGUCACGCCUACGGCCUCCGCGUGCGCGGCCAGCACACGUGCACGACUGGCCGCCACGGCAAGACGGUCGGCGUCUCUCGCGGCAAGUAAGCUCGGUGAGCGUAAAACGCUCCCUGGGCCCUCUCCUCCUACCUCGACUCCUCGCGUCUUCUUUCUUUUCUCGUGUUACUGCUAUGCGCCACUGUCCCGAGAGAAGAACGUUUCGGUAUGCGGAAUAAGCGCAGCUUGGGGAGCACGCGUUGGUGUGGACGGGAUGGGUGAGGGAGAGGGGAGAGGCGAAGCGCGAUACGUAAAUCGAGUGCGUGGGUCUCUGUGUUGGUCUGCUUCUCUUUGCUUCACAGGUUGUCAUGGAGAGGCUGACUCGAGUACGGACUCGCCGUUGGUGUAUGUGUGUGUGUGCCCGAUCUCUCUCUCUCUCGUUGCUCUUUCACGUGCGUCUUUUCGUUUUUUUUUUUCAUCGUUUCGCGACUCAUCGCUCUGCGUCAUUUUUUUUUUCGUAUUUCCUCCUUAGGAAAAAG
RNAcentral lists this unclassified non-coding RNA (915 nucleotides) under Leishmania donovani. RNAcentral describes it as "gene:LdHU3.36.1330(CDS-product:40S_ribosomal_prot ein_S18_putative)". The record is from RNAcentral. Lineage: Eukaryota; Euglenozoa; Kinetoplastea; Trypanosomatida; Trypanosomatidae.